GAUGAACGCUAGCUACAGGCUUAACACAUGCAAGUCGCGGGGCAGCAUGGGGGUUGCUUGCCAUCCCCGAUGGCGACCGGCGCACGGGUGAGUAACGCGUAUCCAACCUGCCCUUCACCACGGGAUAACCCGGCGAAAGUCGGACUAAUACCGUAUGUUGUCCAUUGACGGCACCCGAUUUGGACGAAAGGUUUGGCGGUGAAGGAUGGGGAUGCGUCCGAUUAGCUGGACGGCGGGGUGACGGCCCACCGUGGCGACGAUCGGUAGGGGUUCUGAGAGGAAGGUCCCCCACACUGGAACUGAGACACGGUCCAGACUCCUACGGGAGGCAGCAGUGAGGAAUAUUGGUCAAUGGGCGUAAGCCUGAACCAGCCAAGUAGCGUGCAGGAUGACGGCCCUAUGGGUUGUAAACUGCUUUUAUGCGGGGAUAAAGUGGCCCACGUGUGGGUUUUUGCAGGUACCGCAUGAAUAAGGACCGGCUAAUUCCGUG
RNAcentral lists this ribosomal RNA (490 nucleotides) under uncultured bacterium. Its description in RNAcentral is "partial 16S ribosomal RNA". It matches the Rfam family "Bacterial small subunit ribosomal RNA", at positions 28 to 507 of the family's 1533-position model. The record is from RNAcentral.